UGGGGAAUAUUGGGCAAUGGGCGCAAGCCUGACCCAGCAACGCCGCGUGAAGGAUGAAGGUUUUCGGAUUGUAAACUUCUGUCCUCAGGGACGAAAGGAAUGACGGUACCUGAGGAGGAAGCCCCGGCUAACUACGUGCCAGCAGCCGCGGUAAUACGUAGGGGGCGAGCGUUGUCCGGAAUUACUGGGCGUAAAGGGAGCGUAGGCGGCCAAUUAAGUCAGAUGUGAAAUUCCCGGGCUUAACCUGGGCAGUGCAUCUGAAACUGGAUGGCUUGAGUGCGGGAGAGGAAAGUGGAAUUCCUAGUGUAGCGGUGAAAUGCGUAGAUAUUAGGAGGAACACCAGUGGCGAAGGCGACUUUCUGGACCGUAACUGACGCUGAGGCUCGAAAGCGUGGGGAGCAAACAGG
Molecule: ribosomal RNA, 407 nt
Filed under: uncultured bacterium
Lineage: Bacteria
Description: bacterial SSU rRNA
Rfam family: Bacterial small subunit ribosomal RNA
Source: RNAcentral